RNAcentral lists this ribosomal RNA (450 nucleotides) under uncultured bacterium. RNAcentral describes it as "partial 16S ribosomal RNA". It matches the Rfam family "Bacterial small subunit ribosomal RNA", at positions 354 to 796 of the family's 1533-position model. The record is from RNAcentral.
GUGGGGAAUUUUGGACAAUGGGCGAAAGCCUGAUCCAGCCAUGCCGCGUGCAGGAUGAAGGCCUUCGGGUUGUAAACUGCUUUUGUACGGAACGAAAAGACUCCUUCUAAUAAAGGGGGUCCAUGACGGUACCGUAAGAAUAAGCACCGGCUAACUACGUGCCAGCAGCCGCGGUAAUACGUAGGGUGCAAGCGUUAAUCUGAAUUACUGGGCGUAAAGCGUGCGCAGGCGGUUAUAUAAGACAAAUGUAAAAUCCCCGGGCUCAACCUGGGAACUGCAUUUGUGACUGUAUAGCUAGAGUACGGUAGAGGGGGAUGGAAUUCCGCGUGUAGCAGUGAAAUGCGUAGAUAUGCGGAGGAACACCGAUGGCGAAGGCAAUCCCCUGGACCUGUACUGACGCUCAUGCACGAAAGCGUGGGGAGCAAACAGGAUUAGAUACCCUGGUAGUCC